This 292-nucleotide ribosomal RNA is filed under the name uncultured bacterium. RNAcentral's name for it is "partial 16S ribosomal RNA". It matches the Rfam family "Bacterial small subunit ribosomal RNA", at positions 505 to 796 of the family's 1533-position model. The record is from RNAcentral.
GUGUCAGCCGCCGCGGUAAGACAGAGGGUGCAAACGUUGCUCGGAAUCACUGGGCGUAAAGGGCGUGUAGGCGGGAAGCUAAGUCAGGUGUGAAAUCCCCAGGCUCAACCUGGGAACUGCACUUGAAACUGUCUUUCUUGAGUGUCGGAGAGGAAAGUGGAAUUCCUGGUGUAGAGGUGAAAUUCGUAGAUAUCAGGAGGAACACCGGUGGCGAAGGCGGCUUUCUGGACGACAACUGACGCUGAGACGCGAAAGCGUGGGGAGCAAACAGGAUUAGAUACCCGCGUAGUCC